This 255-nucleotide ribosomal RNA is filed under the name uncultured bacterium. Its description in RNAcentral is "partial 16S ribosomal RNA". It matches the Rfam family "Bacterial small subunit ribosomal RNA", at positions 524 to 776 of the family's 1533-position model. The record is from RNAcentral.
UACGGGGGGGGCAAGCGUUGUUCGGAAUUACUGGGCGUAAAGGGCGCGUAGGCGGCCUACUAAGUCGGACGUGAAAUCCCUCGGCUCAACCGAGGAACUGCGUCCGAUACUGGCGAGGCUUGAAUUCGGGAGAGGGAUGUGGAAUUCCAGGUGUAGCGGUGAAAUGCGUAGAUAUCUGGAGGAACACCGGUGGCGAAGGCGGCAUCCUGGACCACGACUGACGCUGAGUGAGCGAAAGCCAGGGGAGCAAACGGG